GGGUGAGUAACGCGUGGGUAACCUGCCUUACACAGGGGGAUAGCAGUUGGAAACGACUGGUAAUACCGCAUACCUUACAUUAUUCGCAUGUUUGAUGUAAGAAAGAUUUUAUCGGUGUAAGAUGGACCCGCGUCUGAUUAGCUAGUUGGUGUGGUAACGGCAUACCAAGGCGACGAUCAGUAGCCGGCCUGAGAGGGUGAACGGCCACAUUGGGACUGAGAUACGGCCCAGACUCCUACGGGAGGCAGCAGUGGGGAAUAUUGCACAAUGGAGGCAACUCUGAUGCAGCGACGCCGCGUGAGUGAAGAAGUAUUUCGGUAUGUAAAGCUCUAUCAGUAGGGAAGAUAAUGACGGUACCUACAGAAGAAGCCCCGGCUAAAUACGUGCCAGCAGCCGCGGUAAUACGUAUGGGGCAAGCGUUAUCCGGAUUUACUGGGUGUAAAGGGAGUGUAGGCGGCAGUACAAGUCAGGAGUGAAAACUUGGGGCUCAACCCCAAGACUGCUUUUGAAACUGUACAGCUAGAGUGUAGGAAGGGCAAGCGGAAUUCCUGGUGUAGCGGUGAAGUGCGUAGAUAUCAGGAAGAACACCGGUGGCGAAGGCGGCUUGCUGGACUAUAACUGACGCUGAGACUCGAAAGCGUGGGGAGCGAACAGGAUUAGAUACCCUGGUAGUCCACGCUGUAAACGAUGAAUACUAGGUGUUGGG
RNAcentral lists this ribosomal RNA (706 nucleotides) under uncultured bacterium. Its description in RNAcentral is "bacterial SSU rRNA". It matches the Rfam family "Bacterial small subunit ribosomal RNA", at positions 104 to 827 of the family's 1533-position model. The record is from RNAcentral.